GUAGAUCAAUUUGGGUGUUCAUUGCUACAGAGGAGGCAGGUGCUAAGUUGGAAGACAUUCUCUAUGCUCAUGAACGCAAGAAGACAACCAGAUCUGAAAUUACUUACUCCAAGAUGAGGAGCUUGCUUUGAAGAGGACUCCUUUUCUAUUGACCCAGCUCUGAUUUUGUCACACAGUAAAAAUCCAGAGACAAUUCAACAAGUUUACCGAUGUAAGAUGUGUGAGCAGUGCCUGAAGCUUUUUUCAUGUAAAAUUAAUUGAAAGAAGAUCUACUGAUGAAAAAACACCAUCAUUAUUUCCUCGUAAAAAAACUGCAAACCACUCUACAGCAACCGAUUACAUCAUAAUUAUCCUGUGCUUAAUAAAUCAUCCUUUCAUCUUCCCCUCCAACGUGGCACCAGCAUGUACUGCAGCAAAUUAUAGGAUGUGUGAAUACAGAUGAAAACCUGAGUACAAAUGAAGGAUGAUGCUUGAGGUUCAAACUUACUUGUAAAUUACAUCACAGCCAUUAUUAUAACCAGCCAUUUUUUAGUGUCUUUUCUUCCUCUCAUACUCCUUGUGUUUGUCCCACAUAAGUCAUUUCAUAUCCAGCCCAGGCAAGUCACUGAUUUUGACCAAGUCCCACAUCAUGGCAGAAGGACUGAUGUCUUCUUUGGAUAAAAGAAUCACUUAUCACUAGACUCUUCUUUGUACAAGUAGGUACACAUUCUUAUAACACCUCUUGAGGGAAUCUCCUAACCAGCUUUUCUCUACUUCCUUCACAACCUCACAGCAGUUUACCACUCAGGUUUCAGGAGAGUUGAUACGGUAGAAAUUUAAAAAACCCUGCUCUAUGAUAAUGUUUGCAAAUGCUUGUUUUCCUUUCCGAUAUUAUUUAUAUGUUCAUAUAUUGAUCAUACAUACAGUCACAAAAUUCACAAACCUGGAGUAACCAUUGGUGUCAGUGCCUUGACCUACUAGAUAAUUUAUUUUAGAAUUUUUGUGAGUAUUCAAAGACAAUCACUGCAGGUAUCACCUAUAUCCAGUGAAAAUUUGCUUGUUUGGAGGAAUUUUACUGCUCAGUGCUGGGGUAAUGUGAUCUUACGGAUCAUAAUUGCUAGAAUGUUAAAGCUGACUACUAGAGGCUGUGCAGUCAUAGAGAUGUGUAGUUUUAAUUUACAGCAGGAGAAUGAUUUGCAUGUUCCCAUCUGUGUUAUAAAAUGUAAGAGAAUAGAAGAACUAAACUAACUUACAAGUGCAAACAAAAAUGACAGUACUUAACCAUCCUUUCAAAGCAGAAUGCAGUCAAUAAAAUCAAAACUUUUACUUUACAAAAUUAACAACAAAGAUGUGUUUUCCCUACAGUGCAUGGGUGGGGGAACUAAUCACUAAAUAGAUCGGAAUAUUUAACCUGUAAGUGUAUUACAGGCAUACAAGAUAUGGUCCAAAUGCACAUUUCUUGACUCAGCUAUUUGUUGAGGCAAUGAACUCACUGUUUGUUUUAUAAGGAAGACAUCUGAGCAGGACAAUGUAAAGUAAAAUGUUUUGUUUUAUGAACAAUCAUUGCUUCUCAUAGAUGUACUGAUUAAGUUAUUAGGCAGAUUUCUUUUUCUUUUUUCUUGUAAGGAGUCAACAUUCUGCUCUUUUGAAAGACACUGACAAGAUAAUUGUAAAUCCUAAGCCUGCAAUAAAAAGCUGAAUUUGAAUCCAGU
This is a long non-coding RNA of Gallus gallus (chicken), 1691 nucleotides long. NCBI's taxonomy places the organism in Eukaryota, Metazoa, Chordata, Aves, Galliformes, Phasianidae. The record is from Ensembl.